RNAcentral lists this long non-coding RNA (1709 nucleotides) under Olea europaea subsp. europaea. The record is from RNAcentral. Lineage: Eukaryota; Viridiplantae; Streptophyta; Magnoliopsida; Lamiales; Oleaceae.
UUCUGCUCUAAUUUUGGUGAUCGUGCAUCUGAAUUGUGUUUCUGAAGAGAUCAGUGGCAAAACUUCCUCACGUUGGUCUCAUCAGGUUUGUUCACGGCACAUUUAUUUAAGAAAUAGUAUGCCAUGGAACUUAGUAGAUAGAUAAAUAUUUUCAUCUUCUAUUCAUUUUUAUUGAAAAUGGACUGGAAAUUUCAAACUAGUUCUUUAGUUUUUUGCUUUUGAGUUCGAAACACAAAUUGAAUAUAAAACAAAUGACACACGAUAUUGUGUCUCAGACUGGUUUUUGGAUCUAAAUUAUAGGUUUAUAUUUCAUUGAAGAUCAAUAUCCAGUAUUUCUGUGUGCAGCCUUCUGUUCAUGAUUUUUUUAUGCGAAUGGCCUUUCUGUGAAGCACAAAAAGAUCUAAAUGAGGUGCCUUCUCUUAGUGCCAAACUACGUGCCAAUGGCCCAACCAAGGUGUCCUAUUGUGGUUUCUUGAUUAUCUUUUAGGUAGACUUUAAGUAUUUACGGCAAUACCAUACAUUAUAGUUUUUAGGCUGUGGGUAAUCGAUUUGUGGUUAUCCUUUUUGUUAUGUAAUGCAUGAUCAUACUCUCCAGUUAUUCGAACUAUCAAUUUAUAUAGGUAACUUUUUCCUUGUAAAUCAUUCAUUUGGAAAAAAGGUGCACUCCUCUGUUAAUAUUUGUCUCAUUACAGCAGGUGCCUUUGAGUCAAAAUCGUCUGAUUUUAAGGGAGUCUCAGGUAUAUAUUUUCCUUUCCUUUUUUUAUUCAUUUAUUUUUAUUUUUUUGUAAUCUUAUUAGUCCAGAAAUUAAAAUUCAGCCAAAGAAGGAUAAUGUGGAAAAUUUCCAUGACAAAAUAGGACUACUUACGCGGUACAUUCUUUCAGGGACGACACAAAUGAGGAAAGACAUAAUUUCAAUUUUCAGGCGUGGCAAUAUUUAGAGUUAUGUUGACGUCUUACAAAAUAAAUGAUGCGUCUUGUACAUGUUAAUAGCAGAACCUAUGAAUGCCAAAACUUGUAGGUUGAUUCAGAAGACAUCCUAGCAGAAAAAGCGAUAGACCAUAUAUAGAGUUUUUCCUUCUAUUGAAACCAACACUUGCUCCACUUAUUCAGUUAUGGUGUUACAUUUCAUUUGCAUUCUAGCUCUAUUCUCAUCAUUUUGGUGUCUGAUUCUUGCAGGUGUUGUUGAUGGAAAAAAUACGCCCGAAGAUGAUGCUAUUCCAGGUUAUAUUAGUGGUGCCAUUACUAGGCACUGUGCUUGUGACUCAUUCCCAAAAUGUUGUGCAUUAUUCUCAAACUAGGCUCCUAGUUGUUCCUGAAAUUUGUCCUGAAACUAUAUGAUGCAGGAGUCUUAAAAGUAGGAAAAUAACUAGCGGAAGCAACAGCUGCCACAAUUGCUUAAUUACUGUGAGUUUAGCCGAAAUGUGUUAUUUUCUGUUGCUUUUAUGUGCAGGGUAAUUUGAUUCUUUCAGAUAUAGGCUUGGCUGAGCCCGAGAAACAGAGUAUAUCAUGCUGCUCUUAAUGGUAACAACAGCAUGCCUACUGUUUUGCAUCAGAAAGACGAUUGAUAAUAUUCAUGGCCUCACUCUGAAAAGUUAUAUAGUCUUGGAUCCUUGCUACUGUUAGUGUUGCUACUGAUUAUGGUGGUUUCCACCAUACUUCUUUAACUUUCUUAUGAAUAAACGGGUGGCCAUUAAUUAUAAUAUGAUUU